Molecule: ribosomal RNA, 482 nt
Filed under: uncultured bacterium
Lineage: Bacteria
Description: partial 16S ribosomal RNA
Rfam family: Bacterial small subunit ribosomal RNA
Source: RNAcentral
AUUGAACGCUGGCGGCAUGCUUUACACAUGCAAGUCGAACGGUAACAGCACUUCGGUGGCUGACGAGUGGCGCACGGGUGAGUAAUACAUCGGAACGUGCCUAGUAGUGGGGGAUAACUACUCGGAAGAGUAGCUAAUACCGCAUGAGAUCUAAGGAUGAAAGCAGGGGACCUUCGGGCCUUGCGCUACUAGAGCGGCUGAUGGCAGAUUAGGUAGUUGGUGGGAUAAAAGCUUACCAAGCCGACGAUCUGUAGCUGGUCUGAGGGGACGACCAGCCACACUGGGACUGAGACACGGCCCAGACUCCUACGGGAGGCAGCAGUGGGGAAUUUUGGACAAUGGGCGCAAGCCUGAUCCAGCAAUGCCGCGUGCAGGAUGAAGGCCUUCGGGUUGUAAACUGCUUUUGUACGGAACGAAAAGCCCUCUUCUAAUACAGGAGGGUCAUGACGGUACCGUAAGAAUAAGCACCGGCUAACUACGUG